AAGACUAUAGACCUGCGGAGUACCUGCGGAGGGAUCAUUAAUGAGAAACUGCCCCUCGCGGGUAGAUCUCCCACCCUUUGUAAACUUACCUUUGUUGCUUUGGCAGGCCCGUCUCCGGACCGCCGGCUUCGGCUGGCCAGUGCCUGCCAGAGGAUUCUAAAACUCUGUCUGUCAGUGUUGUCUGAGUCUAUAUACAAUCGUUAAAACUUUCAGCAACGGAUCUCUAGAUCGGAAGAGCAC
This 240-nucleotide unclassified non-coding RNA is filed under the name soil metagenome. Its description in RNAcentral is "partial contains 5.8S ribosomal RNA, internal transcribed spacer 2, and large subunit ribosomal RNA". The record is from RNAcentral.